This 87-nucleotide transfer RNA is filed under the name Lachnospiraceae bacterium. Its description in RNAcentral is "tRNA-Tyr". It matches the Rfam family "tRNA". From Rfam's summary of the family: Transfer RNA (tRNA) molecules are approximately 80 nucleotides in length. Their secondary structure includes four short double-helical elements and three loops (D, anti-codon, and T loops). The record is from RNAcentral. Lineage: Bacteria; Bacillati; Bacillota; Clostridia; Lachnospirales; Lachnospiraceae.
GGGAGAUUAUACCGUAGGGGUAGCGGGCUGGACUGUAAAUUCAGUGGCUUACAAAUGUCUCGGGUGGUUCGACUCCAUCAUCUCCCA